CUAAACCCUAUGAACACUAAAAAUUCUUCCGUGUCCACCAACCACCUCCAGCUCUCUUUUGAAUUCUCUUUUCUGAUACCUGAUGCAAACCCCUUCUCGAUUGUCUCUUAGAAUUCUUACUGUUUCUAACUCGGAGAAACAUCAAUUUCGGGGUUUUUUCAUCUGAAUCAAAUUUUUUUUUUUUGAUCUUCUGUGAUGCAUUCGAAAAUUUUCGUUAUCUCUUUUCGUUGGCAGAUCUCAAGGGAAGGAGUUGUAAUGCCUCAAAAAUCAGAACCAACAGAGUACACAAGCGGUGUUUGUUAAAAUGCCUAAAUGAAUUGAUUAGUUUUUCUGCUACUGUAAGGCUGUUGUUGCCGAUUGAGGGGUUUAAUGGGUUCCGGUGGUGUCAAAUGUUGUAAUCAGUUGGAGGAAAUAGUAUGGGUAGGAGGCGGAGUUGUUUUUGGCAGAGAGAAUGCUCACUGAGCAGGCAGAUGUCAUAACUUUUGAUGGCGAGGUACUACUAUACCAGCAUCCUUUUUGUAUCAGUUUUUAUGCAAGCCUUAAUUAGUUAAGUUGUGACGAAAUCUAUACAAGCCAUACUAUGUUGGAAAAACAAUGGUUUGCAUGAUUUCUAAAGUGUUUUUUUCAUUCUGAUUAUAGUAUUUGCAACAUGAAGCACUGUAGCGGGAUAUACACAUUCUGUUUAAGUGUUUAAUCUUUCGCAUAUCUUAUAUUUUGACUA
This is a long non-coding RNA of Papaver somniferum (opium poppy), 721 nucleotides long. RefSeq lists it as uncharacterized. The transcript is spliced from 2 exons. Lineage: Eukaryota; Viridiplantae; Streptophyta; Magnoliopsida; Ranunculales; Papaveraceae. The record is from RefSeq and is a predicted model, not a curated record.